RNAcentral lists this ribosomal RNA (400 nucleotides) under uncultured bacterium. RNAcentral describes it as "bacterial SSU rRNA". The stretch from base 1 to 347 matches the Rfam family "Bacterial small subunit ribosomal RNA", at positions 173 to 545 of the family's 1533-position model. The record is from RNAcentral.
AUACGUCCUACGGGAGAAAGUGGGGACCGCAAGGCCUCACACUAUAGGGGCGGCCGAUGCCGGAUUAGCUAGUUGGUGAGGUAAGAGCUCACCAAGGCGACGAUCCGUAGCUGGUCUGAGAGGAUGAUCAGCCACACUGGGACUGAGACACGGCCCAGACUCCUACGGGAGGCAGCAGUGGGGAAUUUUGGACAAUGGGCGCAGAUCCAGCCAUGCCGCGUGAGUGAAGAAGGCCUUCGGGUUGUAAAUCGGCCGGGACGAAAUCGCUUCCGCUAAUACCGGGAGUGGAUGACGGUACCGGAAUAAGAAGCACCAAGCCGAAUUCCAGCACACUGGCGGCCGUUACUAGUGGAUCCGAGCUCGGUACCAAGCUUGGCGUAAUCAUGGCCUGUGUGAAAUU